Molecule: ribosomal RNA, 366 nt
Filed under: uncultured bacterium
Lineage: Bacteria
Description: bacterial SSU rRNA
Rfam family: Bacterial small subunit ribosomal RNA
Source: RNAcentral
ACGAACGCUGGCGGCGUGCUUAACACAUGCAAGUCGAGCGGUAAGGCCCUUCGGGGUACACGAGCGGCGAACGGGUGAGUAACACGUGGGUGACCUGCCUCUAGCUCUGGGAUAAGCCUGGGAAACUGGGUCUAAUACCGGAUAUGACUCCACGGCGCAUGUUGUGGGGUGAAAGCCUUGUGUGGCUAGAGAUGGGCCCGCGGCCUAUCAGCUUGUUGGUGGGGUGANGGCCUACCAAGGCGACGACGGGUAGCCGGCCUGAGAGGGCGACCGGCCACACUGGGACUGAGACACGGCCCAGACUCCUACGGGAGGCAGCAGUGGGGAAUCUUGCGCAAUGGGCGAAAGCCUGACGCAGCGACGCCG